Molecule: microRNA precursor, 85 nt
Organism: Colobus angolensis palliatus
Lineage: Eukaryota; Metazoa; Chordata; Mammalia; Primates; Cercopithecidae
Source: Ensembl
UAUUAGGUUGGUGCAAAAGUAAUCGCGGUUUUUGCCAUUACUUUCAAUAGCAAAAACCGUGAUUACUUUUGCACCAACCUAAUAU